UGUCUGCUCUGGCGGAUCUCAUUUCCUCCCCUCCCCCACACGGUGACUCACCCCUCAUCAUCGCGCUGUGUGGCCAAGGCUCAGCCUGGGUGGGGGCCAGGGAGGCCGAGAGAGCUGCUCAGAGGAAACCACAGGCCUGACCCAGCUGGCAGACCCUGCCUCCUGCUCCCACUCCAUGCUCUGGUGAGAAGCAGGGCAACUGGGCAGAGCCUCGCUCUGGGAAACACAGGGCUCUUUCCAGCCGGGCCCCUGGCUUGCUGAGACAUCUUCAAGCUCCUCCCAUCUCUGAACCUCAGUUUCCUCUUCUGAUGAACAGGAGCCCUGCCUUAACGCUUCCAGGAACUCUCCAAUCCUGCCAGGGUGAGGGCAGACACUGGGAUCCUGUCUCCAUUAUCCACUGGUGUGUCCUACUGCCUAGAUAUAGUAGCUGCUCAAUAAAUAUUUGAAAAAUGAAGGAAGGGAGCCUGUGAUGGGAACAGAGAUAUUUCUCCAAGCUCCAGCCCCAGCCCCAGGUGGGUGUUCCUGCCCGGAAUGGUGGGGCGGGUGGAAGGAGCCCGGCCAGGGCAGACAGAGAAAAGCCAGUGUUGUUUUCCAGACAGGGCCAGGCCUGAGCAAUAGGACCCCUGGUUCUGCCCACAGCCCAGCCCUCCCGCCUGGCCAG
Long non-coding RNA from Chinchilla lanigera (long-tailed chinchilla), 661 nucleotides. RefSeq lists it as uncharacterized. The transcript has 3 exons. The record is from RefSeq and is a predicted model, not a curated record. NCBI's taxonomy places the organism in Eukaryota, Metazoa, Chordata, Mammalia, Rodentia, Chinchillidae.